CAGAGCACUGUGCUAGUAGGAUGCUGCAGUCAGGGAGGAAGAGCACAGCCCAGCCCACAGCAAGCAGGUAACGGCAAGGGGAGCAAAGCAUCUACCACAGCUGAGCUUUAGCUGUCACUGACCUCAGGAAGGCAGUGAGUCACUGGCCAACACCUGGCUCCAAGGAGAGGCUGAAUAAAGCUAGGAGCAAUAGCUACAAUAGGGGUAAUCAAUCAGCCGACUGUCUCAGGCAGAGCUUCCUGUCCUGGUUGCAGAAGCAUUAGAGACACGUGUGAAAGCAGCAGCAGUAGCAGGAUUCAUGGAAGGGUCUCAGCACUUAGGACAAGCCUCAUCUCCCCUCUGCCUGGAAGACACCAGCAAGCUGGAUACCAAAACCACCACACUGCCAGGGUGGGACAGCAAGGAGAGGUGGCAGCAUCAUGAUACACAAGAACAGGUGCCAAAACUAACAUCUCCAGCUUCCAGAGAGACACAGUGAGCCUAGGAAUGGCACCUUUGAUUUGGCCAGAAGAGACCACGAUUCCUCCAGAGCAGAUCCAUCACACUCCCAUAGAGGAGAAGGCCACCAGCUGCUAUCUGCCUGUAAGCCCCAGUCAAGGAUGCAUCCCUCUAUAAAUGCCUCUAGGGCCUCGGGACAAAGGUCAAAUGCGAAACCAUCACAUGCCGGUGAUGUGCUGCAAGGUAUAUUUAACACCAGGAGCCACUAAGGGGCACU
This is a long non-coding RNA of Mauremys reevesii (Reeves's turtle), 715 nucleotides long. RefSeq lists it as uncharacterized. The transcript is spliced from 4 exons. NCBI's taxonomy places the organism in Eukaryota, Metazoa, Chordata, Testudines, Geoemydidae. The record is from RefSeq and is a predicted model, not a curated record.